UACGAAGGGGGCUAGCGUUGCUCGGAAUCACUGGGCGUAAAGGGCGCGUAGGCGGCCUGAUCAGUCGGAGGUGAAAGCCUGUGGCUCAACCACAGAAUGGCCUUCGAUACUGUCGGGCUUGAGACCGGAAGAGGUAAGUGGAACUGCGAGUGUAGAGGUGAAAUUCGUAGAUAUUCGCAAGAACACCAGUGGCGAAGGCGGCUUACUGGUCCGGAUCUGACGCUGAGGCGCGAAAGCGUGGGGAGCAAACAGG
Molecule: ribosomal RNA, 253 nt
Filed under: uncultured bacterium
Lineage: Bacteria
Description: partial 16S ribosomal RNA
Rfam family: Bacterial small subunit ribosomal RNA
Source: RNAcentral